GGGUAGGGCAAUUUAAGUUAAUUUUGGGCCAAUUUCAAGAGAUUGUGACGGGCAACGACUAUAUAGGUGUUGUAGAGGAGACAAUGGCGCAUCGUUUAAGAAAAUCUCCAGAGUGGUUUAUGUUCGAAAAUUUGAAGUUACGGUUAAAAAACUGAAAAUUUUAUGGUGAAAUUGACAAAAUGAGAUUACGGGGGUAGGGCACUAAAAGAAAAAUUUGGACUAUUUUAAAGAGAUUGUGACGGGCAACGACUAUAUAGGUGUUGUAGAGAAGACAUUGGCGCAUCGUUUAGGAAAAUCUCCAGAGUGGUUUAUGUUCGAAAAUCUGAAGUUACGGUUAACAAACUGAAAAUUUUAUUGUGAAAUUGACAAAAUGAGAUUAGGGGGGUAGGGCACUAAAAGAAAAAGUUUGGACUAUUUUAAUGAGAUUGUGACGGGCAACGACUAUAUAGGUGUUGUAGAGGAGACAUUGGCGCAUCGUUUAGGAAAAUCUCCAGAGUGGUUUAUGUUCGAAAAUCUGAAGUUACGGUUAAAAAACUGAAACUUUUAAUGUGAAAUUGACAAAAUGAGAUUAGGGGGGUAGGCCAAUUUAAGUUAAAUUUGGACCAAUUUCAAGAGAUUGUGACGGGCAACGACUAUAUAGGUGUUGUAGAGGAGACAUUGGCGCAUCGUUUAAGAAAAUCUCCAGAGUGGUUAAUGUUCGAAAAUCUGAAGUUACGGUUAAAAAACUGAAAUUGUGAAAUUGACAAAAACGGAAAAAAUUGAUGAAAUUUUCGUUUCCGUUCUCUAACUUCAGUUUGCCUCAACCAAAUGUUAUGAAACUUAGACACAGUGCUUAUUACCACAAAACGUACUCAACUGUAUGUGGAAGUUGACUCAUGCAUAUUUAAAAUCUUGAAAAAUAGACCAACACUCAUCCUUAAUGUUUAAAAUUAAUUAUUUCCCAAUUAAUCAAAGUGACAAUUUAUAUACCUUCAGACAUUUAUUGACAUGUACAAUAUAUUUCAGAUCACUUGAAGUAGUAUUGGCAGUAAUUUUAAAGUGAUCAUUUGAUUAAGCAUUUGA
This is a long non-coding RNA of Mytilus californianus (California mussel), 1062 nucleotides long. RefSeq lists it as uncharacterized. Lineage: Eukaryota; Metazoa; Mollusca; Bivalvia; Mytilida; Mytilidae. The transcript has 4 exons. The record is from RefSeq and is a predicted model, not a curated record.